GAGAGUGUAGCUCAGUGGUACAGCGCUUGCUCGGUGUGCAGGAAGCCCUGGGUUCAAUCCCUAGUUCUUCA
RNAcentral lists this transfer RNA (71 nucleotides) under Fukomys damarensis (Damara mole-rat). It matches the Rfam family "tRNA". From Rfam's summary of the family: Transfer RNA (tRNA) molecules are approximately 80 nucleotides in length. Their secondary structure includes four short double-helical elements and three loops (D, anti-codon, and T loops). The record is from Rfam by way of RNAcentral. Lineage: Eukaryota; Metazoa; Chordata; Mammalia; Rodentia; Bathyergidae.